This 237-nucleotide ribosomal RNA is filed under the name uncultured bacterium. Its description in RNAcentral is "partial 16S ribosomal RNA". It matches the Rfam family "Bacterial small subunit ribosomal RNA", at positions 114 to 334 of the family's 1533-position model. The record is from RNAcentral.
CGCGUGGGUAAUCUACCCUCGAAUUGGGGAUAACAUCGCGAAAGCGAUGCUAAUACCGAAUAAUAUCUUAAAAAACCUCGGUUUUGAAGAUCGAAGGAGGCCUCUACUUGUAAGCUUCUGUUUGAGGAUGAGCCCGCGUACCAUUAGCUUGUUGGUAGGGUAAUGGCCUACCAAGGCUACGAUGGUUAGCUGGUCUGAGAGGAUGAUCAGCCACACUGGAACUGACACACGGUCCAG